This 134-nucleotide ribosomal RNA is filed under the name Dunaliella viridis. Its description in RNAcentral is "large subunit ribosomal RNA". Lineage: Eukaryota; Viridiplantae; Chlorophyta; Chlorophyceae; Chlamydomonadales; Dunaliellaceae. The record is from RNAcentral.
GGAAAGAGACCUGCGUGAGAGAUAGCGUACAUAGUACAGUAAUGGAAAGCCUUACAAUUGAAGCAUAAUGCAGGCAUAUGUUGCCGUACUUAUUGCAUUACGGAUAUACGAGUUAAUAAGGGAUAGGCUAUAUA